Amphiprion ocellaris (clown anemonefish) is the source of this 610-nucleotide long non-coding RNA. RefSeq lists it as uncharacterized. The record is from RefSeq and is a predicted model, not a curated record. The transcript is spliced from 3 exons. Lineage: Eukaryota; Metazoa; Chordata; Actinopteri; Pomacentridae.
AGGUGGAAGCUGAAUUAGUGAGGAUGACUCCUGCUCCUCUCAUCUCUAAGCUCCUCACACAUCUUUACCUGCACAUGAGGAAAAUCACUCCUGUAGAAUGCAGAUGUUCAGAGGGAGAUGAUGCCACAUCUGGUCCAGCUGAUGGAAGGUCUUGAAGUUCUCUGACUGGCCUCGACUGAAGAUGGUCGUCUCACUGGAUUUAAGAUGCACAAUGAGGGACAUCUGCAGAGACUGAGAAAGAGUCUCACCACAUCCUGACAUGAGGAAAAAGACUUUAUUGAAGACUACAAUGAGAAAAACUAUCAGACAGCAGACAACAUGCAUUCACGGUGAGCUCUGAACAUUUGAUCUGGAACAGGAAUUCAAUAACAGCAGCAUGAGCUUCAUUUCAGUCUGUAGCUGCUGAAUUCAUGGAUGAAUCAUCUGGCACUAGAGAGGAAGACCAUCAAACAUCCACAUCAGCUGAUGGAGGUCCAAGAGUCUCACCAAACAAACAACCUACAGAGUGAAGACCUCAAAUCUGAUUGGACGGCCUCCUAUUCAGCCACAUGUGUGAACAAAUGCCUCUAAGUUGAUUUGUUUUCUAAAAUAAAUCUAGUUUGAGUCCUAA